Non-coding RNA from Glycine max (soybean), 151 nucleotides. NCBI's taxonomy places the organism in Eukaryota, Viridiplantae, Streptophyta, Magnoliopsida, Fabales, Fabaceae. The record is from Rfam.
GAUGCUUGCCUAGUGUUAGAAGGUUAAGGAAGUUGGUGACCUAAUGACAAGAAACUGACAACCGAAUCCUCGGUGAACAACGAUUGUAACUAUAACGGUCCUAAGGUAGCACAAUUUCUUGUCAAGUAAGUUCAAACUGGUACAAAAAACA